RNAcentral lists this small nuclear RNA (105 nucleotides) under Carlito syrichta (Philippine tarsier). Lineage: Eukaryota; Metazoa; Chordata; Mammalia; Primates; Tarsiidae. The record is from RNAcentral.
UAGCAUUUUGUGCUUGACUAUACUAAAAUUGUAAUGAUACAGAGAAGAUUAGCAUGGCCCCUGGGCAAGGAUGACAUGAAAAUUCUUGAAGUAUUCUAUAGAAUA